This 446-nucleotide ribosomal RNA is filed under the name uncultured bacterium. RNAcentral's name for it is "bacterial SSU rRNA". It matches the Rfam family "Bacterial small subunit ribosomal RNA", at positions 329 to 792 of the family's 1533-position model. The record is from RNAcentral.
UGCCAGACUCCUACGGGAGGCAGCAGUGGGGAAUAUUGCACAAUGGGGGGAACCCUGAUGCAGCGACGCCGCGUGGGUGAAGAAGCGCCUCGGCGCGUAAAGCCCUGUCGGCAGGGAAGAAAAUGACGGUACCUGAAGAAGAAGCCCCGGCUAACUACGUGCCAGCAGCCGCGGUAAUACGUAGGGGGCAAGCGUUAUCCGGAUUUACUGGGUGUAAAGGGGGCGCAGACGGCGAUGCAAGCCAGGAGUGAAAGCCCGGGGCCCAACCCCGGGACUGCUCUUGGAACUGCGUGGCUGGAGUACAGGAGGGGCAGGCGGAAUUCCUGGUGUAGCGGUGAAAUGCGUAGAUAUCAGGAGGAACACCGGUGGCGAAGGCGGCCUGCUGGACUGCAACUGACGUUGAGGCCCGAAAGCGUGGGGAGCAAACAGGAUUAGAUACCCCGGUA